Molecule: ribosomal RNA, 422 nt
Filed under: uncultured eukaryote
Lineage: Eukaryota
Description: bacterial SSU rRNA
Rfam family: Eukaryotic small subunit ribosomal RNA
Source: RNAcentral
CAAUAGCGUAUAUUAAAGUUGUUGCGGUUAAAAAGCUCGUAGUUGGAUUUCUGCUGAGGACGACCGGUCCGCCCUCCGGGUGAGCAUCUGGUUCGGCCUUGGCAUCUUCUUGGUGAACGUAUCUGCACUUGACUGUGUGGUGCGGUACCCAGGACUUUUACUUUGAGGAAAUUAGAGUGUUUCUAGCAGGCAGCUCGCUCUUUGCAUAGGUUAGCAUGGGAUAAUUUUAAUAGGACUCUGGUGCUAUUUGUUGGUUUCGAACACCGGAGUAAUGAUUAAAAGGGCAGUCAGGGGCACUCGUAUUCCGUCGAGAGAGGUGAAAUUCUCAGACCAAUGGAAGACGAACCACUGCGAAAGCAUUUGCCAGGGAUGUUUUCACUGAUCAAGAACGAAAGUUAGGGGAUCGAAGACGAUCAGAUACC